GGACUGCACAUAAUUGGGAGUCUGGAACCUAUUGGAAGCUCCAGGAAGAGAAUACUUGGACAUGGAACAGCAAGCAGGGAUGAGCCCACAUUUCCACGAGGUGAGAGCUUCAGUGUCACUGCUGUGUGCAGGAGGGGACUAUGGGAUGGAGCUGGAGAAGAAGCACAGCGUCACUGCAUAGCAUCCAGUGACCUGAGUGGGGACAGGCAAGCACAUCCUCGCCCCUUUCCCCUGCCUUUCGUGUGCUCUCCCUUCCUCUCACUUUCCUCUCUGUUCCAUGUGCUGAAUGAUCCCCUGUCUCUCCCUUCUAGUGGAACAGCAGAGCAGUGUGUGAACUGUGAGCCCCAGAAACAGGAAACAAUAGAGAAGAACCCGGUGUGAUGUCCAGUGUGCUAGACAAAUUGCUGGAACAAGAGCGACAAGAUCAGGGUCCCAUCGUUGGGAUACUUUAGGUAAGUCACUACCCUUCCUCCAGUGUCUUUUAUAUAACAGAAUAACAAUACCCAACUCUCCCAACCACCCAGGAGUAUUGUGGACUUUAAGUG
Molecule: long non-coding RNA, 545 nt
Filed under: Zalophus californianus (California sea lion)
Lineage: Eukaryota; Metazoa; Chordata; Mammalia; Carnivora; Otariidae
Description: lncRNA (ENSZCAG00015017991.1)
Source: RNAcentral